This 774-nucleotide ribosomal RNA is filed under the name uncultured Neocallimastigales. Its description in RNAcentral is "partial large subunit ribosomal RNA". It matches the Rfam family "Eukaryotic large subunit ribosomal RNA", at positions 23 to 634 of the family's 3401-position model. The record is from RNAcentral. Lineage: Eukaryota; Fungi; Neocallimastigomycota; Neocallimastigomycetes; Neocallimastigales.
AGAGAGAGACAUGCGCGCAUAUCAAUAAGCGGAGGAAAAGAAACUAACUAGGAUUCCCUCAGUAACGGCGAGUGAAGCGGGAAGAGCUCAAAUUUGAAAUCUUCAAGGUUCUACCUUGACGAAUUGUAGUUUAAAGAAGUGUUUUCUGUUGGAGUUUUGGUAAAAGUUCUUUGGAAUAGGACAUCAUAGAGGGUGAGAAUCCCGUAUUUGACCAUUAUUUCCAGCUUUGUGAUACACUUUCAAAGAGUCGGAUUGUUUGGGAAUGCAGUCCGAAAUGGGUGGUAAAUUUCAUCUAAAGCUAAAUAUUGGCGAGAGACCGAUAGCGAACAAGUACCGUGAGGGAAAGAUGAAAAGAACUUUGAAAAGAGAGUUAAACAGUACGUGAAAUUGUCAAAAGGGAAGCGUUUGACACCAGUGUUGUUUUCUCGAAAAUCAAUUAAAAAAGGCUGGAUUUUGUGUUGUAUUGACUUUAUCAGCUUUCUGCACUCUUUUCUUGUCUUUUUUAAUGCACUUUUCGUUUAACAAGUCAACAUCAAUUUCUUUUGUUGUAAAAGGGUCAUUGGAAGGUGGCUUUCUUUUCGGAGAAAGUGUUUAUAGCCUUUGGCCUCUGCAAUCGGAGAGAUUGAGGUCUGCAGCGUAGAUCCUUCGGGGUUAGAUACAUUUGUGCUAAGUUAUAGCCUUUCAUAGACAACUUGUUGACUAUGAUCAGUCAUGUAGCUUACUCGCUUAUGCUAUUUUACCUACGCUUAGGAUGUUGACAGCAGUAUAGACUGU